Molecule: ribosomal RNA, 243 nt
Filed under: Vibrio alginolyticus
Lineage: Bacteria; Pseudomonadati; Pseudomonadota; Gammaproteobacteria; Vibrionales; Vibrionaceae
Description: partial 16S ribosomal RNA
Rfam family: Bacterial small subunit ribosomal RNA
Source: RNAcentral
CGGGAGGCAGCAGUGGGGAAUAUUGCACAAUGGGCGCAAGCCUGAUGCAGCCAUGCCGCGUGUGUGAAGAAGGCCUUCGGGUUGUAAAGCACUUUCAGUCGUGAGGAAGGUGGUGUAGUUAAUAGCUGCAUUAUUUGACGUUAGCGACAGAAGAAGCACCGGCUAACUCCGUGCCAGCAGCCGCGGUAAUACGGAGGGUGCGAGCGUUAAUCGGAAUUACUGGGCGUAAAGCGCAUGCAGGUG